AAACCAGCACCUCAAGUGGUCAGGAUGAUUAUUGGGCCUAAAGCAUCCGUAGCCGGCUCUGUAAGUUUUUGGUUAAAUCUGUACGCUUAACGUACAGGCUGCUGGGAAUACUGCAGAGCUAGGGAGUGGGAGAGGUAGACGGUACUCGGGAGGAAGUGGUAAAAUGCUUUGAUCUCUCGAUGACCACCUGUGGCGAAGGCGGUCUACCAGAACACGUCCGACGGUGAGGGAUGAAAGCUGGGGGAGCAAACCGGAUUAGAAACCCCUGUAGUCC
RNAcentral lists this ribosomal RNA (274 nucleotides) under uncultured bacterium. RNAcentral's name for it is "partial 16S ribosomal RNA". It matches the Rfam family "Archaeal small subunit ribosomal RNA", at positions 473 to 747 of the family's 1478-position model. The record is from RNAcentral.